This 192-nucleotide ribosomal RNA is filed under the name uncultured bacterium. RNAcentral's name for it is "partial 16S ribosomal RNA". It matches the Rfam family "Bacterial small subunit ribosomal RNA", at positions 1309 to 1500 of the family's 1533-position model. The record is from RNAcentral.
AACCCGAGUACAUGAAGCUGGAAUCGCUAGUAAUCGCGAAUCAGAAUGUCGCGGUGAAUACGUUCCCGGGUCUUGUACACACCGCCCGUCACACCAUGGGAGAUGGAUAUGCCCAAAGUCAGUGACCUAACCGCAAGGGAGGAGCUGCCUAAGGUGGAGCCAUUAACUGGGGUGAAGUCGUAACAAGGUACC